RNAcentral lists this ribosomal RNA (253 nucleotides) under uncultured bacterium. RNAcentral's name for it is "partial 16S ribosomal RNA". It matches the Rfam family "Bacterial small subunit ribosomal RNA", at positions 524 to 776 of the family's 1533-position model. The record is from RNAcentral.
UACGGGGGGGGCAAGCGUUGUUCGGAAUUACUGGGCGUAAAGGGCUCGUAGGCGGCCAACUAAGUCAGACGUGAAAUCCCCAGGCUUAACCUGGGAACUGCGUCUGAUACUGGAUGGCUUGAAUUCGGGAGAGGGAUGCAGAAUUCCAGGUGUAGCGGUGAAAUGCGUAGAUAUCGGAAGGAACAUCAGUGGCGAAAGCGACUUCCUGGACCAGUACCGACGUUCAGGCACGAAAGCGUGGGGAGCAAACAGG